Molecule: transfer RNA, 72 nt
Filed under: Aedes aegypti (yellow fever mosquito)
Lineage: Eukaryota; Metazoa; Arthropoda; Insecta; Diptera; Culicidae
Rfam family: tRNA
About the family: Transfer RNA (tRNA) molecules are approximately 80 nucleotides in length. Their secondary structure includes four short double-helical elements and three loops (D, anti-codon, and T loops).
Source: Rfam by way of RNAcentral
AGCUCGGUAGCUUAGUUGGUAAAGCGCUGAUCUAGCAUACAAUAAUCCUGGGUUUGAAUCCCAGCCGAGCUC